UAUUAUACUAAAUUGAUAAAUUAAAGUUAAAAUAUUAUAAGAUAAAUUCUUUAAAUUUAAAGAAUUUGGCGGUAAUUUAGUCUUUCCAGAGGAACCUGUUUUAUAAUCGAUAAACCACGAAUAAUCUUACUUAUUAACGUUAAUAAAUUUCAAGUUUGUAUACCGUCAUUAUUAGAUAAUAUUUAGAGAAAAUUAUUAAAUUUUAAAUAAUAAAAUAAAUUAGAUCAAGGUGCAGCCUAUAAAUAAGUUAAAAUGGGUUACAAUUAAAUAAAUAUAAUAUGGAGUAAAUUUUGAAAUAAAUUUAUGAAGGAGGAUUUGGUUGUAAUAAGAAUUAAUACGAUAAAAAGAUAUAAGCUCUAAAUUAU
RNAcentral lists this ribosomal RNA (365 nucleotides) under Leptopisa setirostris. RNAcentral's name for it is "partial small subunit ribosomal RNA". The record is from RNAcentral. Lineage: Eukaryota; Metazoa; Arthropoda; Malacostraca; Decapoda; Majidae.